CCUACGGGCGGCUGCAGUGAGGAAUAUUGGUCAAUGGUCGGGAGACUGAACCAGCCAAGCCGCGUGAGGGAGGAAGUUACAGAGUAUCGUAAACCUCUUUUGUCAGGGAACAAAGACUGGGACGCGUCCCCGGAUGAGUGUACCUGAAGAAAAAGCAUCGGCUAACUCCGUGCCAGCAGCCGCGGUAAUACGAGGAAUGCGAGCGUUAUCCGGAUUUAUUGGGUUUAAGGGGUGCUCAGGGGGUCUGUUAAGUCAGCGGUCAAAGCCCGGGGCUCAACCCCGGCCCGCCGUUGAAACUGGCAGUCUCGAGUUGGAGAGAAGUAUGCGGAAUGCGCGGUGUAGCGGUGAAAUGCAUAGAUAUCGCGCAGAACUCCGAUUGCGAAGGCAGCAUGCCGGCUCCACACUGACGCUGAGGCACGAAAGCGUGGGUAUCGAACAGGAUUAGAUACCCUAGUAGUC
RNAcentral lists this ribosomal RNA (459 nucleotides) under uncultured bacterium. RNAcentral describes it as "partial 16S ribosomal RNA". It matches the Rfam family "Bacterial small subunit ribosomal RNA", at positions 338 to 795 of the family's 1533-position model. The record is from RNAcentral.